This 1424-nucleotide long non-coding RNA is filed under the name Cyanistes caeruleus (blue tit). RNAcentral's name for it is "lncRNA (ENSCCEG00000006159.1)". Lineage: Eukaryota; Metazoa; Chordata; Aves; Passeriformes; Paridae. The record is from RNAcentral.
UCUGCCCCAAAAAAACCCCAAAAUCCCGGGAUUCUGCCCCAAAUAAUUCCCAAAAUCCCGGGAUUCUGACCCCCAAAAAACCCCAAAAAAUCGCGAUUUCCUGUCCCAAAAAAACCCCAAAUUCCCGGGAUUCUGCUCCCAAAAAAACCCAAAAAUCCGGGAAUCUCACCCCAAAAAAUUCCCAAAAAUCCCGGGAUUCCCCUCCCAAAAAUCCCCCAAAAUCCCAGGAUUCUGCCCCAAAAUUCCCGGGAUCCUGCCCCAAAAAAAACCCCAAAAUCCCAGGAUCCCACCCCUAAAAAACCCCAAAAUCGCGAUUUCCUGUCCCAAAUAAUUCCCAAAAUUCCUGGGAUCAAGACCCAAAAAUUCCCAGAAAUUCUGGGAUUCUGCCCCAAAUAAUUCCUAAAAUCCCGGGAUUCUGCCUCCAAAAAACCCCAAAAAUCCCGGGAUUCUGCCCCCCAAAAAAACCCCAAAAAUCCUGGGAUCCAAUCCCAAAGAAUUCCCCAAAAUCCCGGGAAUCUCACCCCAAAAAAAUUCCCCAAAUCCCGGGAAUCUCACCCCAAAAAAUUCCCAAAAUUCCUGGGAUCCAGCCCCAAAAAUCCCCAAAAAUUCCCGGGAUUCCCCUCCCAAAAAAUUCCCCAAAUUUCAGGGAUUCUGCCCCAAAAAAACCCCAAAAUCCCGGGAUUCUGCCCCAAAUAAUUCCCAAAAUCCCGGGAUUCUGACCCCCAAAAAACCCCAAAAAAUCGCGAUUUCCUGUCCCAAAAAAACCCCAAAUUCCCGGGAUUCUGCUCCCAAAAAAACCCAAAAAUCCGGGAAUCUCACCCCAAAAAAUUCCCAAAUUCCCGGGAUCCAGCCCCAAAAAUUCCCAAAAAUUCCUGGGAUUCCGCUCCCAAAAAAAUCCCAAAAUCCCGGGAUUCUGCCCCCAAAAAUUCCCCAAAUUCCCGGGAUUCUGCCCCAAAAAAUUCCCCAAAUUCCCGGGAUUUUGCCCCCAAAAAAUUCCCCAAAUUCCUGGGAUUUUGCCCCCCAAAAAACCCCAAAAUUCCCGGGAUUUUGCCUCAAAAAAUUCCCAAAAAUUCCCGGGAUUUUGCCCAAAAAAAUUCCCAAAAAUUCCCGGGAUUUUGCUCCCAAAAAUUCCCCAAAUUCCCGGGAUUUUGCCCCAAAAAAAUUCCCCAAAUUCCCGGGAUUUUGCCCCAAAAAAUUCCCCAAAAUUCCCGGGAUUUUGCCCCAAAAAAUUCCCCAAAUUCCCGGGAUUUUGCCCCAAAAAUCCCAAAAAUCCCCCAAAACUUUGGGGCCGUUUUUGGGGUUUUUUUGGGGGGGAAUUUGGGGCUUUUGGGGUUUUUUGGGUUUUUUUGGGGGGUGGGGAUUUCUCAUUUUGGGGUUUUUGGGGAAUUUUGGGAUUUUUGGGGUUCUGAGGGGGAAUUUUGGAA